This 1372-nucleotide ribosomal RNA is filed under the name uncultured bacterium. Its description in RNAcentral is "bacterial SSU rRNA". It matches the Rfam family "Bacterial small subunit ribosomal RNA", at positions 28 to 1381 of the family's 1533-position model. The record is from RNAcentral.
GAUGAACGCUGGCGGCGUGCCUAAUACAUGCAAGUCGAGCGAACGGACGAGAAGCUUGCUUCUCUGAUGUUAGCGGCGGACGGGUGAGUAACACGUGGAUAACCUACCUAUAAGACUGGGAUAACUUCGGGAAACCGGAGCUAAUACCGGAUGAUAUUUUGAACCGCAUGGUUCAAAAGUGAAAGACGGUCUUGCUGUCACUUAUAGAUGGAUCCGCGCUGCAUUAGCUAGUUGGUAAGGUAACGGCUUACCAAGGCAACGAUGCAUAGCCGACCUGAGAGGGUGAUCGGCCACACUGGAACUGAGACACGGUCCAGACUCCUACGGGAGGCAGCAGUAGGGAAUCUUCCGCAAUGGGCGAAAGCCUGACGGAGCAACGCCGCGUGAGUGAUGAAGGUCUUCGGAUCGUAAAACUCUGUUAUUAGGGAAGAACAUAUGUGUAAGUAACUGUGCACAUCUUGACGGUACCUAAUCAGAAAGCCACGGCUAACUACGUGCCAGCAGCCGCGGUAAUACGUAGGUGGCAAGCGUUAUCCGGAAUUAUUGGGCGUAAAGCGCGCGUAGGCGGUUUUUUAAGUCUGAUGUGAAAGCCCACGGCUCAACCGUGGAGGGUCAUUGGAAACUGGAAAACUUGAGUGCAGAAGAGGAAAGUGGAAUUCCAUGUGUAGCGGUGAAAUGCGCAGAGAUAUGGAGGAACACCAGUGGCGAAGGCGACUUUCUGGUCUGUAACUGACGCUGAUGUGCGAAAGCGUGGGGAUCAAACAGGAUUAGAUACCCUGGUAGUCCACGCCGUAAACGAUGAGUGCUAAGUGUUAGGGGGUUUCCGCCCCUUAGUGCUGCAGCUAACGCAUUAAGCACUCCGCCUGGGGAGUACGACCGCAAGGUUGAAACUCAAAGGAAUUGACGGGGACCCGCACAAGCGGUGGAGCAUGUGGUUUAAUUCGAAGCAACGCGAAGAACCUUACCAAAUCUUGACAUCCUUUGACAACUCUAGAGAUAGAGCCUUCCCCUUCGGGGGACAAAGUGACAGGUGGUGCAUGGUUGUCGUCAGCUCGUGUCGUGAGAUGUUGGGUUAAGUCCCGCAACGAGCGCAACCCUUAAGCUUAGUUGCCAUCAUUAAGUUGGGCACUCUAAGUUGACUGCCGGUGACAAACCGGAGGAAGGUGGGGAUGACGUCAAAUCAUCAUGCCCCUUAUGAUCUGGGCUACACACGUGCUACAAUGGACAAUACAAAGGGCAGCGAAACCGCGAGGUCAAGCAAAUCCCAUAAAGUUGUUCUCAGUUCGGAUUGUAGUCUGCAACUCGACUACAUGAAGCUGGAAUCGCUAGUAAUCGUAGAUCAGCAUGCUACGGUGAAUACGUUCCCGGGUCU